This 279-nucleotide ribosomal RNA is filed under the name uncultured bacterium. RNAcentral describes it as "partial 16S ribosomal RNA". It matches the Rfam family "Bacterial small subunit ribosomal RNA", at positions 506 to 784 of the family's 1533-position model. The record is from RNAcentral.
UGCCAGCCGCCGCGGUAAUACGGAGGGUGCAAGCGUUGUUCGGAAUUAUUGGGCGUAAAGCGCGUGUAGGCGGUUCGUUAAGUCUGAUGUGAAAGCCCGGGGCUCAACCCCGGAAGUGCAUUGGAAACUGGCGAACUUGAGUACGGGAGAGGAAAGUGGAAUUCCGAGUGUAGGGGUGAAAUUCGUAGAUAUUGGGUAGAACACCAGUGGCGAAGGCGGCCAUCUGGCACGAUACUGACGCUGAGGCGCGAAAGCGUGGGGAGCAAACAGGAUUAGAUA